CCUACGGGUGGCAGCAGUGAGGAAUAUUGGGCAAUGGACGAGAGUCUGAAGCAGCCAAGUAGCGUGAAGGAUGACUGUCCUAUGGUUUGUAAACUUCUUUUAUAAAGGAAUACAACGAGUCACGUGUUCCUUUUUGCAUGUACUGUAUCAAUAAGGAUCGGCUAACUCCGUGCCAGCAGCCGCGGUAAUACGGAGGAUCCGAGCGUUAACCGGAUUUGUUGGGUUGAAAGGGAACGUAGAGGGGUUGUUAAGUCAGUUGUGAAAGUUUGCGGCUCAACGGUAAAAUUGCAAUUGAUACUGGCAAUCUGGAGUACAGUUGAGGUAGGCGGAAUUCGAGGUGUAGCGGUGAAAUGCUUAGAUAUCACGAAGAACCUCGAUUGCGAAGGCAGCUUUCUAACCUAUGACUGACAUUGAUGCUCGAAAGCGUGGGUAGCAAACAGGAUUAGAUACCCGGGUAGUC
Molecule: ribosomal RNA, 460 nt
Filed under: uncultured bacterium
Lineage: Bacteria
Description: partial 16S ribosomal RNA
Rfam family: Bacterial small subunit ribosomal RNA
Source: RNAcentral